GGCAACAUUCAAAUCACGUUUAAAAUACCAGUUCUCGUCCGAUCACUGAAGUCAAGAAACGUUGAGCACGGUUAUAGUACUUGGAUGGGUGACCGCUUGGGAACACCGUAUGAUGUUGUCU
This 121-nucleotide ribosomal RNA is filed under the name Cyphomyrmex costatus. Lineage: Eukaryota; Metazoa; Arthropoda; Insecta; Hymenoptera; Formicidae. The record is from RNAcentral.